UAUUCCUUUUCCUUCCACGUCUUCUCUCGCAGCACUUGUUACUUUCACCAGAACCAUAACCCGUCCCUGUCGUCAUUGCCCAGCCAGAAUAUUAUGAGUUGUGAGGAUUAUAGUCAAUUCAGCAGCUCUUUCAUGCAGUUUAUGAUUUGUUGGAUCGAGAAGCAUGUUUUAUCUGUCCAGGGUUCUGUCCGUGGUCUUAUUAUGUGGGUUGGGUGCUUUGUUGUGGUUUAUGAGACGACGUUUCGGCAACAAAGGUGAUAGAGGGAAGAAAGAAGUAGAUAUGAGUAUUGAUUC
This 294-nucleotide long non-coding RNA is filed under the name Elaeis guineensis (African oil palm). Its description in RNAcentral is "long non-coding RNA (EGUI_LNC037172)". Lineage: Eukaryota; Viridiplantae; Streptophyta; Magnoliopsida; Arecales; Arecaceae. The record is from RNAcentral.